Molecule: ribosomal RNA, 236 nt
Filed under: uncultured bacterium
Lineage: Bacteria
Description: partial 16S ribosomal RNA
Rfam family: Bacterial small subunit ribosomal RNA
Source: RNAcentral
UUGUCCGGAUUCAUUGGGCGUAAAGAGCACGCAGGCGGUUUGGCAAGUCUGAUGUGAAAACCCGAAGCUCAACCUCGGGCCUGCAUCCGAAACUGCCCGACUAGAGGUAGGUAGGGGAGAUCGGAAUUCCUGGUGUAGCGGUGAAAUGCGCAGAUAUCAGGAGGAACACCGGUGGCGAAGGCGGGUCUCUGGGCUAUAACUGACGCUCAUGCACGAAAGCGUGGGGAGCAAACAGG